GACCCAGUAGUGAGUGGUUUGCACCGGUGCUUUGUGGGUCGCCUCCGACUUGAAUUGCCAGCGGGAGGUCCUGGUUCAAAUCCAGGCAGGGUCG
Molecule: non-coding RNA, 94 nt
Organism: Mycena galericulata
Lineage: Eukaryota; Fungi; Basidiomycota; Agaricomycetes; Agaricales; Mycenaceae
Source: the annotation of a GenBank genome assembly